GAUGAACGCUGGCGGCGUGCUUAACACAUGCAAGUCGAACGGUAAGGCUCUGCUUUUGUGGGGUGCUCGAGUGGCGAUCGGGUGAGUACGACGUGAGUAAUCAGCCCUUGAUAUUGGGACAUCUUCAGGAAAAUGGGGCUAAUACCGGAUAGGAGCUCCUGUAUCAUGGUGUGGGUUGGCAUGUUUCGGUGGUUGGGGUUGGACUCGUGGCUUAUCAGCUUGUUGGUGGGGUAGUGGCUUACCAAGGCAAUGCCGAGUAGCCGGCCUGGGAGGGAGAGCGGGCACAGCGGGACUGGGAUACGGCCCAGACUCAGACGGGGGGCAGCGGCGGGAAAGAUGGCACAAUGGGCAGGAGCGUGAUGCAGCAGCGCCGCGGGCGGGAGGACGGCCAUCGGGUUGGAAACCGCUAUCCCCUGGUACGGAGCGAAAAUGACGGUAAUAGGUGAAUAAGCACCGGCUAACUACGUG
This 468-nucleotide ribosomal RNA is filed under the name uncultured bacterium. Its description in RNAcentral is "partial 16S ribosomal RNA". It matches the Rfam family "Bacterial small subunit ribosomal RNA", at positions 28 to 507 of the family's 1533-position model. The record is from RNAcentral.